AAAAUAAUUGCGGUUUUUGUCAUUGAAAGUAAUGGCAAAAACUGCAAUUACUUUUACA
This is a microRNA precursor of Macaca nemestrina (pig-tailed macaque), 58 nucleotides long. The record is from Ensembl. NCBI's taxonomy places the organism in Eukaryota, Metazoa, Chordata, Mammalia, Primates, Cercopithecidae.